CUUAGGCUCUGCGGGCUGAGGAGGAAGGAGGGCGGGCUGGCGGGCGGGGGCGGGACGCCGAGGGGAGGAGGAGGAGGCGGCUCGGAUGGCUGGCUCGGCUCUCGCUCGCUCUCCCUCCCAUGGGCAGUGCCUGAUGGCUGAGAAGAAUCGCAGAGGACUAGAAAAGGUUUGAGUCUGAAAUUAUCUGGCACAGAGGAUUAAAGCUCAGAAAUAAGUGAUUGCGAAACAGUUCAACUUCCCUGUUAAUGACAACAACAACAGCAACACGCUUAUUAAUUCCUAGCUGGAGCAUCAAGCUUAUGAAGAUUUCCAAGACUUUAUUGUUGACCCUUGUUGAAGAGAACUCUACUUGGCUUCUUUCCUGGCUUUCCUAAAUUGUUCACAUACAAGAUAAACUACCGUCAUUCAGACUUACAGAAGUGAGAAGACAAGCUGAACCAAAUGUAAAAUGGUAGCAAUUUACAGAUGUCAGAACUAACAUGUGGAUGAACUUAGAGAUGGAGAAGAAAGCUGGGCUUUUCCAAAGAGUGGAUCUAUCUGAACUGGAUAGCACUAUUGAACUUUGUUGCAUAUUUUGUGGUAGCUCUAAAACUCCUCUGCUUGCUUACAUACAACCAGACACCAGUGCCUUCUGAAGCUAAUCCAGGCCAUUUUUAUAACCUAAUGCAGUAGCACUUUGCAAUUAGAUGAAGAAGAUCGGUGGGAUUUCUUUCUGUGGUGAUUAAAAUGUGUCAGGGGAAGAAAUCAAGACAAUACUCCAAGUGAAAAAUAUAAAGUCAGUUAUUUCUUUAAUAUUUUGUGUUAUAGUAAUCAUUUUUAUAUUUUGAGCAUACUUUUUCUUGUCUACUUAAAUACUCAAAAUUAAUUAUAAAAUGUAAAUGUAAGCACAAUGAGAUACCAUCUCAUCCCAGUUAAAAUGGCUUUUAUCAAAAAGAUAGGGAAUAAUGAAUACUGGUGGAAGGAUGUGGAGAAUGGGGAACCCUCGUACACUGUCAAUGAGAAUGUAAAUUAGUACAGCCACUAUGGAAAACUGUAUGGAAGUGCCUCCGAAAACAAAGUAGAACUACCAUGUGAUCCAGCAAUUACACUAGUGGGUAUAUAUUCAAAAGAAAGGAAAUCAACAUAUUAAAGAGAUAGCUGCAUUCUCAUGUUUAUUGAAGUCCUGUUGAAAUAGCCAAAAUAUGGAAUCAACCUAAGUGCCCAUCAGUGGAUGAAUGGUUAAAGAAAAUGUGAUUGAUAUGCAAUGGAAUAUUAUUCAGCCAUAAAAAAGAAUGAAAUCCUGGCGGGGCACAGUGGCUCAUGCAAGUAAUCCCAGCACUGACCUCAUGAAGACAGAGAGUAGAUUGGUGGUUACCAGAGGUUGAGAAGGGGAGAGGAGAGGAGGGAUGAAGAGAGGUUGAUUGAUGGAUAGAAAUAUACAGUUUGAUAAUGAUAAAUCAGUAGGGUGACUAUAGUUUAUAAUAACCUAUUGUAUGGUUCAAAAUAGCUAAAAGAGAAUAAUUGAAAUAACGUAAGACAAAAAUUUAAGAUGAUAGAUAUCCCAAUUACACUGAUUUGAUCUUUACAAAUUAUAUGAAUGUAUUAAAUUAUUACAUGUAUCCCCAAAAUAUGUACAAGUAUUUUGUAUCAAUAAAAAAUAAAAUUUAAGAUAAAGUAAAUGUAAUGAUUAGCUUAUAUUUCCUAGAUCGGAAAUAAAUAUUUACUUAAGUAUGUUUAUGAUGAAGAGUUUUUUUAUAUUACUAUAAAAAUAGACACCUUACAUAAACAUAUUACAGUUGGUGUUUAGAUGGCUCUUUUUUUUCUGGCCUUGAAUUUCUGGAAAGUAGGUAUGGCCUGCUAUGUCAGGACUAGUUCUUGGAAUUCUUUGUUGU
Molecule: long non-coding RNA, 1871 nt
Filed under: Homo sapiens (human)
Lineage: Eukaryota; Metazoa; Chordata; Mammalia; Primates; Hominidae
Description: non-protein coding MALINC1:62
Source: RNAcentral